Molecule: ribosomal RNA, 377 nt
Filed under: uncultured bacterium
Lineage: Bacteria
Description: bacterial SSU rRNA
Rfam family: Bacterial small subunit ribosomal RNA
Source: RNAcentral
UAAUACGGAGGAUGCAAGCGUUAUCCGGAAUUAUUGGGCGUAAAGCGUCCGCAGGUGGCUCAUCAAGUCUGCUGUCAAAGGCAGGGGCUUAACCCCUGAAAGGCAGUGGAAACUGGAGAGCUAGAGUGCAGUAGGGGUAGAGGGAAUUCCCGGUGUAGCGGUGAAAUGCGUAGAGAUCGGGAAGAACAUCGGUGGCGAAAGCGCUCUGCUGGACUGCAACUGACACUAAAGGACGAAAGCUAGGGGAGCGAAUGGGAUUAGAUACCCCAGUAGUCCUAGCCGUAAACGAUGGAUACUAGGUGUGGCUUGUAUCGACCCGAGCCGUGCCGUAGCUAACGCGUUAAGUAUCCCGCCUGGGGAGUACGCUCGCAAGAGUG